UGGGACAGGAGAUCACACACUGUAUUAUUAUUAUUGAGAGACAGGCUCACUGUCUGUUCCUCAGGCUGGGACAGGAGGUCACACGCUGUAUUAUUGUUAUAGAGUUCUGUUCACACAGAUGCCCCAAUAGUUGUUGGGAUCGUGUCUCACGCCCAGUGUCUCUCUCUGACCCCCUGCACCUCCCCCUUCUCUCUCUCAGAUCUGGAGUCGGGGUCUGACGAGGGGGACCCCACGGACCUCCUGCUCUUCUGUGGACACCCGGAGCCCCUGCCCGCCAGCGCCCCUGCGUUCAGCGAGGUGACCCCGAGAGUCCAGCCUGCGUCGCGGCCGGGGGGGCGCAGGCCGGUGUUUGAUGACCCCGCGGUGGUCCGCACGGUGGAGGGGCGCCCCAGUCUGCAGAGUCUGGACAGCGCCAUCGUCGACAGCAGCGUCAGCUCAGCCUGGGGGAGUCUGGACCCCGACUCGGACAAGGCCAUCAUCAGAGUGAUUGACAGGCCCAGCCCUGCCAGGAUCCCGCCCACAACACUGGACUUCCUGUCUCCAGCGCCACGGUGCUUUACAGCGGGGUCCCCCUCCGUGAAGAGGGGUCCCCCCAGCCGGGGGUCCCCCCAGUCGUAUGGGCCACGCUACCUGUCCCAGGUGAGGUGUGGGGUAGCCCUGGGUCGAGGUGGGGGGGUGUGUGUGUGUGUGUGUGUGUGUUUGGGGUAGCCCUGGGUCGAGGUGGGGGUGUGUGUUUUGGGGAGCCUGGGGUUGAGGCAGGGGAGGGGGGUGUGAGUUUGGGGGAGCCCAGGGUUGGUGUGAUACACAUCUUGACCACUAGGUGGCAAUGUCGAUCAACAGUGAGCGCCUGACUGAGAGAUACUCUGGGGGUGAUGUAUGAUGCUCUCCUGCCUCAGGCUCUGGGGGUCCCCAGGCUGGGUGUGUGAAGCUCUGGGGGUGCUGUGUGUGAUUCUGGGGUUCCCCAGGCUGGGUGGCUGUGUGAAGCUCUGGGGGUGCUG
RNAcentral lists this long non-coding RNA (998 nucleotides) under Lepisosteus oculatus (spotted gar). RNAcentral describes it as "lncRNA (ENSLOCG00000023129.1)". The record is from RNAcentral. Lineage: Eukaryota; Metazoa; Chordata; Actinopteri; Semionotiformes; Lepisosteidae.